RNAcentral lists this ribosomal RNA (253 nucleotides) under uncultured bacterium. Its description in RNAcentral is "partial 16S ribosomal RNA". It matches the Rfam family "Bacterial small subunit ribosomal RNA", at positions 524 to 776 of the family's 1533-position model. The record is from RNAcentral.
UACAGAGGGUGCGAGCGUUAAUCGGAAUUACUGGGCGUAAAGCGCGCGUAGGCGGCUUGUUAAGUCAAAUGUGAAAUCCCCGAGCUUAACUUGGGCAUUGCAUUCGAUACUGGCAAGCUAGAGUAUGGGAGAGGAAGGUAGAAUUCCAGGUGUAGCGGUGAAAUGCGUAGAGAUCUGGAGGAAUACCGAUGGCGAAGGCAGCCUUCUGGCCUAAUACUGACGCUGAGGUGCGAAAGCGUGGGGAGCGAACCGG